GUGGGUGUAGCUCAACUGGUCAGAGUGUCGGGUUGUGGCCCCGAAGGUUGAGGGUUCAAGUCCCUCCACUCACCCCA
This 77-nucleotide transfer RNA is filed under the name Syntrophaceae bacterium PtaB.Bin038. RNAcentral describes it as "tRNA-His". It matches the Rfam family "tRNA". Rfam says of the family: Transfer RNA (tRNA) molecules are approximately 80 nucleotides in length. Their secondary structure includes four short double-helical elements and three loops (D, anti-codon, and T loops). The record is from RNAcentral. Lineage: Bacteria; Pseudomonadati; Thermodesulfobacteriota; Syntrophia; Syntrophales; Syntrophaceae.